Molecule: ribosomal RNA, 584 nt
Filed under: uncultured bacterium
Lineage: Bacteria
Description: partial 16S ribosomal RNA
Rfam family: Bacterial small subunit ribosomal RNA
Source: RNAcentral
UAGGGAAUAUUGGGCAAUGGAUGAGAGUCUGACCCAGCCAUGCCGCGUGCCGGAUGAAGGCCCUCUGGGUUGUAAACGGCUUUUAUCCGGGAAGAAGAGCGGGGAUGCGUCCCCGUGUGACGGUACCGGAUGAAUAAGCACCGGCUAACUCCGUGCCAGCAGCCGCGGUAAUACGGAGGGUGCAAGCGUUGUCCGGAUUUAUUGGGUUUAAAGGGUGCGUAGGUGGCCCCAUAAGUCAGUGGUGAAAGACAGCCGCUCAACGGUUGAGGUGCCAUUGAUACUGUGGGGCUUGAAGCAGACAGAGGCUGCCGGAAUGGAUGGUGUAGCGGUGAAAUGCAUAGAUAUCAUCCAGAACACCGAUUGCGAAGGCAGGUGGCUAUGUCUGACUUGACACUGAGGCACGAAAAGCAUGGGGAGCAAACAGGAUUAGAUACCCUGGUAGUCCAUGCCGUAAAGCGAUGAGGACUCGCUAUUUGGCCUUUUGAGGCUGAGUGGCUUAGCGAAAAGCGUUAAGUCCUCCACCUGGGGAGUACGCCGGCAACGGUGAAACUCAAAUGAAUUGACGGGGUCAUAGCUGUUUCCUG